UACAGAGGUCCCAAGCGUUGUUCGGAUUCACUGGGCGUAAAGGGUGCGUAGGCGGCCGGGUAAGUCUGAUGUGAAAUCUUGCGGCUCAACCGCGAAACUGCAUUGGAUACUAUCCGGCUAGAGGAAUGGAGGGGAGACUGGAAUACUUGGUGUAGCAGUGAAAUGCGUAGAUAUCAAGUGGAACACCAGUGGCGAAGGCGAGUCUCUGGACAUUUCCUGACGCUGAGGCACGAAAGCCAGGGGAGCAAACGGG
This 253-nucleotide ribosomal RNA is filed under the name uncultured bacterium. RNAcentral describes it as "partial 16S ribosomal RNA". It matches the Rfam family "Bacterial small subunit ribosomal RNA", at positions 524 to 776 of the family's 1533-position model. The record is from RNAcentral.